GCGUGUUGGACGGCUCGGUU
Molecule: ribosomal RNA, 20 nt
Filed under: Halimeda renschii
Lineage: Eukaryota; Viridiplantae; Chlorophyta; Ulvophyceae; Bryopsidales; Halimedaceae
Description: partial 5.8S ribosomal RNA
Source: RNAcentral